UUUUUGUUAUUUUCUCACAGUCAAUAUAAAAAUCAAAAGACAAGAAAAAUAGUGAAGUAUUGCCUGCAGAGGCUAUGAUGUUAUCUGUGGUAUAACUGACUGGGAUGGCUAUUGAAAUCUUGCUAAGCACAAUCAGAAGUAACCAAAAUAUCUUUUAACCAAAAUAUACUGGGCAGAAGCUGAAGAAAGGAUAUUUAAGUACACUGAAUAAUUCCUUACAAUAUAGUAACAUAAAUGGAGUCAACUAACACACAUAAACCUUUUAUGAAAUUUGACUAUCCAUAGUUUAUAACAUAGGCUUUCAGUUUUAUAAGAUUUCGAAUGAUUUUCCUCUUUUCAAUUAAACCCAUCCUUUUCCUUCAUUAUCUUUUAGUUCUUAAGACAGAAGAGCAAGAUAAGUCUAUAUUGUCUGUCACAAGAUGAAGGUAGAGGCACAUUAUACAAAUACAGACCUGAAGAAGUAGAUAUUGAUGCCAAGUUAAGCCGAUUAUGUGAACAAGACAAAGUGGUGCAUGCUCUGGAAGAGAAACUUCAGCAACUCCACAAGGAGAAAUACACGCUUGAGCAAGCUUUGCUAUCAGCCAGCCAAGAGAUAGAAAUGCAUGCAGAUAACCCAGCAGCCAUUCAGACAGUGGUGUUACAAAGGGAUGAUUUACAAAAUGGACUGCUUAGUACGUGUCGAGAACUUUCUCGAGCCACUGCCGAAUUGGAACGAGCAUGGAGAGAAUAUGAUAAGUUAGAAUACGAUGUAACUGUUACCAGGAACCAGAUGCAAGAGCAGCUGGAUCACCUUGGUGAAGUUCAGACGGAAUCAGCAGGAAUUCAGCGUGCACAGAUUCAGAAAGAACUUUGGCGAAUUCAGGAUGUCAUGGAAGGGCUGAGUAAACAUAAGCAGCAAA
Molecule: small RNA, 899 nt
Filed under: Pan troglodytes (chimpanzee)
Lineage: Eukaryota; Metazoa; Chordata; Mammalia; Primates; Hominidae
Description: retained intron
Source: RNAcentral